CUUGUACUCCCUCCGUCCGGAAAUACUUGCCAUUGAAAUGGAUGUAUCUAGAUGUAUUUUAGUUCUAGACACAUCCAUUUUGAUGACAAGUAAUUUCGGACGGAGGGAUUACUUG
Molecule: non-coding RNA, 115 nt
Organism: Triticum aestivum (bread wheat)
Lineage: Eukaryota; Viridiplantae; Streptophyta; Magnoliopsida; Poales; Poaceae
Source: Rfam